GAAAUGUAAUUUUAAAUGGGUUGAAAUUUAUUUUAAAUGGGUUGUUAGUUGAAAUGUCUUGCUAGCAUAAUUAGCUACAUAUGUUGUAAUAAUGUUACACGUGUUACCUAUGUUAAAACCAGCCCUUUCUUGGACACAAAAAGGAGCUACACAUAUGUAACACAUGUUUGUAACGUGUGUUACACUUAAGGGUAACACAUCUAAAACAAUUGUUGUGGGGAGUACAACUGUCCAGUCUAGAAAACAAAAACAAAAGCUAUACGACGUCAAACAAAUACGAAAGGUUGUGCUAACAUAUGUUACAUGUUUGUUUAGUGCUUGCAGCGAGGGAGUUGGUUCUACCGGAUAGUAGUUGUUUGAAGUAUAAAAACUCAAAAUUUGGGGAGUCUUCAAGUUCAGGGCAUAAUUGGGUAGAAGUUGCAGCCAAACGAGAAGGGAUCUUGGCAGGAAGAUGGAGAAACCGAUGAAGAAGGGGAACAAGAAGUCGAUGAAGGGCA
This is a long non-coding RNA of Helianthus annuus (common sunflower), 497 nucleotides long. RefSeq lists it as uncharacterized. The record is from RefSeq and is a predicted model, not a curated record. The transcript has 3 exons. NCBI's taxonomy places the organism in Eukaryota, Viridiplantae, Streptophyta, Magnoliopsida, Asterales, Asteraceae.